UACGUAGGCAGCGAGCGUUGUUCGGAAUUACUGGGCGUAAAGAGUGUGUAGGCGGUGCUCUAAGUUCGGUGUGAAAUCUCCUGGCUCAACUGGGAGGGUGCGCCGGAAACUGGAGUGCUUGAGCGUGGGAGAGGAAAGCGGAAUCCUGGUGUAGCGGUGAAAUGCGUAGAUAUCAGGAGGAACACCUGUGGUGUAGACGGCUUUCUGGACCAUAGCUGACGCUGAGACACGAAAGCGUGGGUAGCAAACAGG
This 252-nucleotide ribosomal RNA is filed under the name uncultured bacterium. RNAcentral describes it as "partial 16S ribosomal RNA". It matches the Rfam family "Bacterial small subunit ribosomal RNA", at positions 524 to 776 of the family's 1533-position model. The record is from RNAcentral.